Molecule: RNA transcript, 4045 nt
Organism: Populus nigra (black poplar)
Lineage: Eukaryota; Viridiplantae; Streptophyta; Magnoliopsida; Malpighiales; Salicaceae
Gene name: pumilio homolog 6, chloroplastic-like
Exons: 12
Source: RefSeq, a predicted model, not a curated record
ACGUCACAGUCGCUCUGCUUUUUUUCUUAUUCUUUUCCUCUUUUGUUUUUUUUUUUUUUGUUUUUUUUUAAUCCCCUUAACUAAAGCCAAAUUUUCGUUUGAGAGCCAGUCACGCUCUCUCUCUCUCUCUGUGUGAAAACCCAAAACUCCUUCCUUCUCUAUCUAGAAAGAAAAAGAAAGAAUCUGUUCCGGUUCUAGGGUUUUAAAGAAUGAGUCUUUCUUUGCCAGGGAACUAUGUGGGAUAUCUUGUUACUCCUUGAUUAGGAAAGAACACCAUAAUAAUAAUAAUAUUUUAGCAAUAUGGACACUGAGAGUCCACUUAGAAUGCCCUCCCAUGAGUCAGCAACUUUUGUUCCAUCAACUCCUAUUAUGGCAGUGGAGGAUUUGGGAUUUCUUAGAAACGGUCAAAGAUUCCGUGGCAGUGGGAGAGAUGCGGUCCCUAAUCGAAGUGGAAGUGCACCCCCAAGCAUGGAAGGCUCCUUUUUCGCAAUAAACAACCUCAUUUCUCAGCAAAAUUCCAACCUUAAUCCUAGGCUGGGGAGUUCAAACAAUGCUCUUCUAGCUUUCAACUCAGAGAAGCAGUCAUAUCUAUCUUAUUAUGGUACCGGUGCCAGCCCCAACCUCAGACUUCCUACACCACCCAUCCCAAGGGAGAAUCAGCAUCCGGGACGUCAUGCUGUAAAGUUUGGCACUAAUUGGGGAUUGGCUCCAAUAGAUGACAACAGUAAAAACUCCUUGCAUUUGUCACAAGGAGUACUUUCUACACACAAGGAAGAGUUGGAGGAUGACCACUCACCCAAGGAGCCCUUAGACAGUUUAGCCAACACGACAAAUGGGUUUUGGUCUGGAAGUGAUGCUGCUCCAUUGGCAGGGCAAUCCAAACGCUUGGUUGAUAUAAUUCAGGAGGAUUUCCCCCGUACUCCAUCCCCUGUAUAUAACCAGUCUCGCUCCUUAAGCCCUGGAACAACAGAUGAAGCAGCUGAUCAAGAUGUUUUUUUCGGUUCCUUGCAUGAUUCCACCGCUAGCACAUCCAAUGGCGUUCCAUCAAUUCUAGGAACCACACAACCCAAACCACCUCUCAGCAAAGGAUUUUUAAAUAGGGUAGGCGUUGGCGUUAUUGAAUCUAGAAUGAAGGACCUUAAUAUAUCUAGCCCUCAGAAUCCCAAGGAGCAAAAAUAUCAAGAGCAGUGGCAUCACAGCUACCAGAGCCAUGUGCAGCAACACCAAGUCCACCAACAGCCAAGCAAUGUGUUUCAAGUUCAAAAUGCCAAGUCUCAAAUGGGUUCUCAAGGAGUAAAUUCUGCACAAAUCAGCAUGGAUCAACUUCUCCAUGGCCCAUCAACGUUCUCAGCGGAGGUGCAGUCGGUAUUGCAGUCGCUUGGGUUCACACCUUCUCUUUAUGGGACAACUGGCUACAUGACUUCACCAAAUCCAUUUUACCCAAAUCUUCAGGCUCCAGGAUUAUGUGCUCCACAAUAUGGUAUAGGGGGGUAUGCUCUGAAUUCAACUGUGAUUCCUCCUUAUGUUGCAGGAUACCCCCCUCAGGGUACGGUUUCAAUGGUUUUUGAUGGCUCUGCAAGUCCAAACUUUAAUGCUGGAAUGUCUGGGUCUUCAAGUGAUGGAAGCCUUGCCCACGGAGCUGAUGUGCAACAUUAUAACAAGUUCUAUGGGCAGCUUGGAUAUGUAGUUCAACCUUCAUUUAUUGAUCCUCUUUAUAUGCAAUACUAUCAACAGCCUUAUGGACUAACAUAUAAUAUGUCUGGUCAAUUUGAUCCAUUGGCAUCUGGAGGUGGUGCUAUUGGGAGACAAAACAAUGCUCCUGCAUCAAAGAAAGGAUACGAGGUUGCUGCUGGUUUGGAGGACCAGAAACUGCUACACCACCAGAGAGGUGGAGUGAGUGAUCUUAAUCGAGGCAGAGGGCGGGUAAUGAAUCUUCCUUAUUUUGGAAACUCACCAAACAUAGGUUUAUUGCAGUACCCCUCAUCACCGCUUGCGAGCCCUGUUUUGCCAGGAUCCCCAGUGGGGGGCACUGGUUUUUCUGGAGGGAGAAAUGAAAUGAGGUUCCCACCAGGAAGUGGUAGAUAUGCGUCUGUAUGUUCUGGAUGGCAAGGUCAAAGAGGACCAGAGAGUUUUAAUGAUCCUAAAAUACAUAAUUUUCUUGAGGAGUUGAAAUCUGGCAAAGUCCGCAGAUUUGAGUUGUCUGAUAUUGUAGGGCAUAUUGUCGAAUUUAGUGCUGAUCAACAUGGUAGCCGAUUUAUUCAGCAGAAGUUGGAGAAUUGCAGUGCUGAAGAGAAGGCAUUGGUAUUUAAAGAAGUUCUUCCACAUGCUUCCAAAUUAAUGACCGAUGUUUUUGGAAAUUAUCUUAUUCAGAAAGUUUUUGAGUAUGGAAGCAUGGAGCAGAGGAAGGAACUUGCUAAUCAGCUCACUGGUCAAAUUUUGCAUCUAAGUUUGCAGAUGUAUGGCUGUCGGGUAAUCCAAAAGGCACUUGAUGUAAUCGAGCUUGAUCAAAAAGCACAGCUUGUCCUUGAAUUGGAUGGACAUGUUAUGAAAUGUGUACGUGAUCAGAACGGUAAUCAUGUCAUACAGAAGUGCAUUGAGAGUGUUCCAGCAGAAAAAAUUGGAUUCAUAUUCUCAGCCUUCUGUGGUGAAGUUGCAACACUUUCCAUGCAUCCUUAUGGUUGUCGUGUCAUACAGAGAGUUCUGGAGCAUUGUGCAUAUGAGCUGCAAUGUGAGUUCAUAGUGGAUGAGAUCUUGGAGUCUGUCCUCAUUCUUGCUCAGGACCAGUAUGGAAAUUAUGUGACUCAGCAUGUAUUGGAGAGGGGAAAACCUCGAGAAAGAUACCAGAUUAUUAGCAAAUUGUCAGGGCAUAUUGUUCUACUCAGCCAGCAUAAGUUUGGGUCCAAUGUUGUAGAGAAAUGUUUGGAAUAUGGUGGUGCCACUGAGCGGGAAAUAAUAAUUCAGGAGAUUCUUGGGCAGAAUGAAGGAAAUGAUAAUCUAUUGACAAUGAUGAAGGACCAAUACGCAAAUUAUGUGGUCCAAAAGAUUCUUGACACCUGUACUGAUAUUCAGCGGGCAAUGUUGCUUAAUCGAAUAAGAACACAUGUGCAUGCUCUGAAGAAAUAUACUUAUGGGAAGCACAUUGUUGCUAGAUUCGAACAGCAAUAUGGGGAAGGAGGACCCCUUGGGCCUUAGAGUUGCUUGACUGAAGGUUUCAUUUGAUCGCAUCUUUGUCCAGCUCCCAAUGUCUAGUUGGGUGCUGCUAGUCUGAAAAAAAAAGGACAAAUGAAUUCUAGCUUGAAGAUUUUUUGAAGACAGCUGUUUAGCAGUCUGGGGACAGUAGUAAAGUGGCAACUUAGUAGGAAAUUGAGGAACUUCUAAUUCCAUAAAAAGUAACAAAUACGAUUGGAAUUCUUAUGUACCUGUGCUGGAAAAUCACAUCAGUCCUGAAAUGAAGUUUGGUGCAUAGACUUGAGAAUCAAACAUCAUGAUCAUGAUGCAGAUCCACUGGUGUGGCCUGUCAAUUGCUAGCGCAGCCGCAACAUGUGAAAGCCUCUCAGCUGAUCCCAUUGUUACAACUUGUGCAGGAAUAACAACCAAAUCAUGCAAGCAUCCUUUGUCUUGAUCAUGUUAAUACAUGACUGCCUCAGAAAGCUUCCACCAUCAAUUACCAGAUUGGAAUUGUAAAGUCAGUAAAUAUGCAUGUGCCACGGAAUGGUUUGUAUAUAUGUUGUGUAGCUCAACUAUUUGGACACAGACGAAAGGAGCAACAGUAGGAAAACAGUUUAGAUUGCAACACAGAUUCAAAGGGAAUGAAAAGCUUCUUGAUAGCUAAUUCUGUAAAAUCGUAUGAUGGGUUUGUUUGGUAAAUGGCUUUUCUUUAUAAGGUAGGAGAGGCUAUACAAAUACAAUGUCUCCUUUUGUACUGCAUUGGAAGCCAUGCAUGUCAAUAGGAAAAGCCAUCUUCCAAAAGGUUUCCCUGUCAAUAGGCUAUGCAGAUGCGUUCAUUGAAUAAAUUAAGAGCCCCUUUGGCAAUGGGAUUUGACAA